GCCAUUCAGAGUUUCUGGGUGCAAAUCAAGGUGCUCCUCAGCUUCACCUACUGUGGCUUAGGAUUCAGCUUUCUUGAAUGUGCUGGACAUGAUCUUCCACCUCCCUGAGCACUUUUUAGAAAACUCUGAGAAGUUGACUGAAGCAUCUGGAUGCUUCUUCUUUGUGCUCCUCCUGGCAGUGCACGCUGUACCUCUGUGGCAGUGGGAGAAUGGCAGAGCCACUUCUUGCUGACUUGAACACAGACCCCAGUCUCCAUCUCUGAGCCCUUGGAUCACAACCUUCCGAGGCCCCAAGCUGCUGUGGACCAGGCAGAGUGACAGUUACACAUCCACAGUGUUUCUGUGGCUUUCAUCUCGAUGGAAGUUGCCUCGGUUAUUUCAGCUUCUCGUUUCUGCCUUGGGCAAUGAGAGGCAGGUGGAUAUGGGGUGCCUGGGGGAAAGACAACAUCGAAGGGUUCAAGUGCUCAUACACUCCUGAGGAAGACCCUUGCUGCCUUCAUCAUCCCACCUUGUUGACUGGGGCGUCCCUCUCCCAGUUGUCCUUUGGCAGAGGUACA
Long non-coding RNA from Urocitellus parryii (Arctic ground squirrel), 557 nucleotides. RefSeq lists it as uncharacterized. NCBI's taxonomy places the organism in Eukaryota, Metazoa, Chordata, Mammalia, Rodentia, Sciuridae. The record is from RefSeq and is a predicted model, not a curated record.